CAAGUUAUAUUCUAGGAAUAAUAUUAUUUACAAUAAUGUUUUGGUUCGUGCAAUUCGGCCUAGCUUGA
Molecule: transfer RNA, 68 nt
Filed under: Clavigralla tomentosicollis
Lineage: Eukaryota; Metazoa; Arthropoda; Insecta; Hemiptera; Coreidae
Description: tRNA-Val
Source: RNAcentral